Molecule: ribosomal RNA, 568 nt
Filed under: uncultured Comamonadaceae bacterium
Lineage: Bacteria; Pseudomonadati; Pseudomonadota; Betaproteobacteria; Burkholderiales; Comamonadaceae
Description: bacterial SSU rRNA
Rfam family: Bacterial small subunit ribosomal RNA
Source: RNAcentral
UGGGGAAUUUUGGACAAUGGGCGCAAGCCUGAUCCAGCCAUGCCGCGUGCAGGAUGAAGGCCUUCGGGUUGUAAACUGCUUUUGUACGGAACGAAAAGACUCCUUCUAAUAAAGGGGGUACAUGACGGUACCGUAAGAAUAAGCACCGGCUAACUACGUGCCAGCAGCCGCGGUAAUACGUAGGGUGCGAGCGUUAAUCGGAAUUACUGGGCGUAAAGCGUGCGCAGGCGNUUNUAUAAGACAGAUGUGAAAUCCCCGGGCUCAACCUGGGAACUGCAUUUGUGACUGUAUAGCUAGAGUACGGCAGAGGGGGAUGGAAUUCCGCGUGUAGCAGUGAAAUGCGUAGAUAUGCGGAGGAACACCGAUGGCGAAGGCAAUCCCCUGGGCCUGUACUGACGCUCAUGCACGAAAGCGUGGGGAGCAAACAGGAUUAGAUNCCCUGGUAGUCCACGCCCUAAACGAUGUCAACUGNUUGUUGGGAAUUCACUUUCUCAGUAACGAAGCUAACGCGUGAAGUUGACCGCCNGGGGAGUACGGCCGCAAGGUUGAAACUCAAAGGAAUUNANNG